GCUAAGUUAGUAUCUUUCUGUUUUCACCCAGCUGGCCUCUUGAGAAUUCAGUUGCCUGUUGUGCCUUGUAGUAAAGUGGAGCUAACUGGUGGGAAGUGGUUACUUUUCUCACAUAACGUCUCUGCAAGUCUCGAGGAAGUUCUGGGAGACGGGAAGGAAUAGCUCCAAACAAGAAGGUGAUCAGGAGCACACUUUCUCCAUAACCUUUCUCUGCUGAAGACCAGGAUGGCCGGUUGCGGGUCAUGUUUCUGGGGCAUCAUCUGGCUGGUGGUUCUGCUCUUCAUUGGCUGGCCCCUCAGCAUCACAUUAGGGGGUCUCUACGGCCUUGUCACCCCCCUUACAACCUGCCUUGGCCUGGACCGACUCUCCGAUCUACUCCUGGAGGGGGCCAACCUGGGCCGAACCUGUGCCAAUAACAUGAGGCACGGCAAGCCAUUAUGUUGAGAUUCACCCUAAGUGGUCAGGACCAGACAGCAGGAACAGCGAUCGGAGGCAAGAUUGUUGCUUUUUUACAAAGAAAAGUCUUUGCUUUGAGGAGCUGGUAAUGUUUGGGAUGAUUGGCAAUCCAUACAGUGAGAAACCUUUUAACAAGUUAUGUAACCCAGGGUCCAGAAGGUUUGGAAAAUGGAUUCCACUUGUUCUGUUAACAUGUAAUUAACCACGGGUUUCCAAUUUGUAUGGGUUUGUCAGGAUGAAAAGAGGCUUUGUAUCCAUGGUCUGUGUUUGCUGUUUAAUUCAUGAUGACACUGCAUGGAGAAAAUAAGAAUGAAAAUGGCAAUUUAACAAUGAAAAUACUUAGACUUGUAAAUGACUGUAUGGAAAUUUUAAAUGCGAUUAAAACUGCUUUGAACUUG
Molecule: long non-coding RNA, 854 nt
Organism: Etheostoma spectabile (orangethroat darter)
Lineage: Eukaryota; Metazoa; Chordata; Actinopteri; Perciformes; Percidae
Exons: 2
Source: RefSeq, a predicted model, not a curated record